GGGUAGGUGGCCGAGUGGAAAUGGCAGCAGACUGUAAAUCUGCCGGCGUUUGCCUACGGAGGUUCAAAUCCUCCCCUGCCCAC
This 83-nucleotide transfer RNA is filed under the name candidate division TA06 bacterium ADurb.Bin131. RNAcentral describes it as "tRNA-Tyr". It matches the Rfam family "tRNA". From Rfam's summary of the family: Transfer RNA (tRNA) molecules are approximately 80 nucleotides in length. Their secondary structure includes four short double-helical elements and three loops (D, anti-codon, and T loops). The record is from RNAcentral.